This 107-nucleotide small nuclear RNA is filed under the name Neotoma lepida (desert woodrat). The record is from RNAcentral. Lineage: Eukaryota; Metazoa; Chordata; Mammalia; Rodentia; Cricetidae.
GUGCUUGUUUUGGCAGCACAUAUAUUAAAAUUGUAAUGAUAUAGAGACUAUUAGCAUGGCCCCUGCACAAGGAUAACACUCAAAAAUAGUACUAAUAAUCCAGUGUU